GGCUGGUUAGCUCAGUCAGUUGAGCGUGGUGCUAAAAAUGCCAAAGUCGCCGGUUCCAUUCCCGUUCCGUCCC
RNAcentral lists this transfer RNA (73 nucleotides) under Apaloderma vittatum (bar-tailed trogon). It matches the Rfam family "tRNA". From Rfam's summary of the family: Transfer RNA (tRNA) molecules are approximately 80 nucleotides in length. Their secondary structure includes four short double-helical elements and three loops (D, anti-codon, and T loops). Further hydrogen bonds mediate the characteristic L-shaped molecular structure. tRNAs have two regions of fundamental functional importance: the anti-codon, which is responsible for specific mRNA codon recognition, and the 3' end, to which the tRNAs corresponding amino acid is attached (by aminoacyl-tRNA synthetases). tRNAs cope with the degeneracy of the genetic code in two manners: having more than one tRNA (with a specific anti-codon) for a particular amino acid; and 'wobble' base-pairing, i.e. permitting non-standard base-pairing at the 3rd anti-codon position. Lineage: Eukaryota; Metazoa; Chordata; Aves; Trogoniformes; Trogonidae. The record is from Rfam by way of RNAcentral.